ACGUAAUCCUAGGAGCGCCCUCGCGCAGUCUUCUGGGGAGGGUUCUUUCCUUUCGUGCCCACCCUCGCGCGUGCACGUUUCCUCCGCUCUGCCGUUUUAAGUCAGGUAGCAUUUACUGUGUCAGAUGGGGUUCAGGGUACAGCUUAUGUACAAGUAAAUUUUAGGUAUAGUUUUGGAUUUUCAGCAUGGAGCAGUGGCAUACCAGCCUACUGCCGAGUCACUUACAAACCUAUCAACACUGCUAAGGCUCUUUGUAGGUUCAGGGGCCACCAGCAAACCAACACCCAGAUCCUCUGCUUGUUUCCGACUCAGGUCAGCUAUUGGUAUCUGAUGUGGUCUCUCUUUAAAAUACCACGCUAAUUCUUUUAAGCUCCUCUGACAUUCAGGCCUUCUCCACAAGUUGGAGAUGGCCUCAUUCGAAACAUCCACUGGGUUGUUCUACACCGUGUUCAGGUUGAGAGCCUGUUUCUCAGCCCGACAUCCUGGGGUAAUCUUCCACCCACCUGGCUCAGCUGCAGUGGCCAAGAGUGACAGAAAGUGUACACUUUUCUGAGCAAAUCCCUGGGAUCACACAACUGUCACUCAUACAACCUUAGGGACUGAGUCUGUCCUCCACAACUAGCACGUGGCAGGCACAGGGCAAGUGCUCAGAGAAUUCUAAAUGAAUAGAUUCUCAGUCCCCUGAUGAAAUUAGACACAAAUUACCCAACUUUAAGUAGUUUUUAAAGCUAUAAUAUGGGCCCCAGCCAUAGCAUCUGGAUCAUGUAUCUUUAAAAAUAUAAUUUAUCUGAGACAUGGGAUGGGAUUCUUACUGAUUCAGGAAUUAUUUGCAGGGCAGUUAUUGCCAGGACUUCUGAUGCUGCAGGGAAAGAAAGUCAUAGCUUCAGUAGCUGCUAUAUGUACUCUUCCGGGUACUUGGCUCUUUUCCAGAGAGAGGCAGAAACGCCCUUAAAAAGUCUUUUAGCUGGACAGUGUGCAUCUAGUUAAAGCUACUGUAUUGUAUACUUAGAAGUGGUUAAUAUGGGGGGGUGCCUGGGUGGCUCAGUCGGUUAGGCUUCCAACUUUGGCUCAGGUCAUGAUCUCACAGUUCGUGAGUUCAAGCCCCGUGUCGGGCUCUGUGCUGACAGCUCGGAGCCUGGAGCCUGCUUCGGAUUCUGUGUCUCCCUCCCUCUGCCCCUCCUCCACUCACACUCUGUCUCUGUCAUUCAAAAAUAAACAUUAAAACAAAUUUUAAAAAAGUGGUUAA
Molecule: long non-coding RNA, 1246 nt
Filed under: Felis catus (domestic cat)
Lineage: Eukaryota; Metazoa; Chordata; Mammalia; Carnivora; Felidae
Description: lncRNA (ENSFCAG00000051920.1)
Source: RNAcentral